RNAcentral lists this small RNA (218 nucleotides) under Theobroma cacao (cacao). RNAcentral's name for it is "sRNA Tc08v2_g013290". The record is from RNAcentral. Lineage: Eukaryota; Viridiplantae; Streptophyta; Magnoliopsida; Malvales; Malvaceae.
AGAAAAAGUGUGGGAUUUCAAAGGAUUAAGCUAAUAAAGGUGGUGAAUCCUCCGAUAAAGGCAAGGAAAUUGUACCCGAGGAUUUGUAGUCAGAGUACUCUAGAAAUUCGACUCCCGAAAUAGUUCAGAUUAGGUUGUAGAUAGCUGAGUUCAUCGAGUACUACCCUUGGAUUUGCAUUCCUUCAAACUGUAGGUUCAUAGUCCUCUUUACUUUGAGU